This 253-nucleotide ribosomal RNA is filed under the name uncultured bacterium. RNAcentral's name for it is "partial 16S ribosomal RNA". It matches the Rfam family "Bacterial small subunit ribosomal RNA", at positions 524 to 776 of the family's 1533-position model. The record is from RNAcentral.
UACGUAGGUGGCGAGCGUUGUCCGGAUUUACUGGGCGUAAAGGGAGCGUAGGCGGACUUUCAAGUGAGAUGUGAAAUACUCGGGCUCAACUUGAGUGCUGCAUUUCAAACUGGAAGUCUAGAGUGCAGGAGAGGAGAAUGGAAUUCCUAGUGUAGCGGUGAAAUGCGUAGAGAUUAGGAAGAACACCAGUGGCGAAGGCGAUUCUCUGGACUGUAACUGACGCUGAGGCUCGAAAGCGUGGGGAGCAAACAGG